Molecule: unclassified non-coding RNA, 433 nt
Filed under: soil metagenome
Description: partial contains 5.8S ribosomal RNA, internal transcribed spacer 2, and large subunit ribosomal RNA
Rfam family: 5.8S ribosomal RNA (bases 1-120)
Source: RNAcentral
GAUGAAGAACGCAGCGAAAUGCGAUACGUAAUGUGAAUUGCAGAAUUCAGUGAAUCAUCGAAUCUUUGAACGCAUAUUGCGCUCUCUGGUAUUCCGGAGAGCAUGCUUGUUUGAGUAUCAGUAAACACCUCAACUUCCAUAUCUUUUUUGAAAUGGGAGUUGGACUUGAGUGAUCCCAACGCUUUUCCUCACCGAAAAGUGGCGGGUUACUUGAAAUGCAGGUGCAGCUGGACUUUUCUCUGAGCUAUAAGCAUAUCUAUUUAGUCUGCCUAAAAAACAGAUUAUUAACUUUGCUGCAGCUAACAUAAAGGAGAUUAGUUCUUGUGCUGACUGAUGCAGGAUUCACAAAGACAGGCUUCGGCCGACUUUGUAAACUCGAUCUCAAAUCAAGUAAGACUACCCGCUGAACUUAAGCAUAUCAAUAAGCGGAGGA